UACGAAGGGGGCUAGCGUUGUUCGGAUUUACUGGGCGUAAAGCGCACGUAGGCGGAUCGUUAAGUGAGGGGUGAAAUCCCAAGGCUCAACCUUGGAACUGCCUUUGAUACUGGGGAUCUCGAGUUCGGGAGAGGUGAGUGGAACUGCGAGUGUAGAGGUGAAAUUCGUAGAUAUUCGCAAGAACACCAGUGGCGAAGGCGGCUCACUGGCCCGAUACUGACGCUGAGGUGCGAAAGCGUGGGGAGCAAACAGG
Molecule: ribosomal RNA, 253 nt
Filed under: uncultured bacterium
Lineage: Bacteria
Description: partial 16S ribosomal RNA
Rfam family: Bacterial small subunit ribosomal RNA
Source: RNAcentral